RNAcentral lists this unclassified non-coding RNA (274 nucleotides) under Hevea brasiliensis (rubber tree). The record is from RNAcentral. Lineage: Eukaryota; Viridiplantae; Streptophyta; Magnoliopsida; Malpighiales; Euphorbiaceae.
GUGAUGUGAACCAACACAAAACAAAGCAGAAAACAUGCUCUGAUAUCCUGUCUGGUAUUUAGGAUCUUUUCUCCUUCCCCAAUCCCAAUAUCACCAUUUAUCUCUCCCCCUCUCNNNNNNNNNNNNNGAUCUCCUUCCUCCUUAGCUUUCCCUGGAAGCACCCUCUUCAAUUCAUUCCAUAAAGCCGCCAACUUUUUUGUUUCUACCCUUUUGAAUAUCUAUAUAAUUUCUGGCCUCUCUGUGUGUUUGAGCUUAAGGGGUUACCGAAUCUGCC